This 495-nucleotide ribosomal RNA is filed under the name uncultured bacterium. RNAcentral describes it as "bacterial SSU rRNA". It matches the Rfam family "Bacterial small subunit ribosomal RNA", at positions 28 to 429 of the family's 1533-position model. The record is from RNAcentral.
GAUGAACGCUGGCGGCGUGCCUAAAACAUGCAAGUCGAGCGGCAGCGAGUUCCUCGCUAAUGUUCGGAUUUGUUUACCAAUGAUGCAAGUAAUUUAGUCAGAGUAACAAAGUAACGACUAGUUGUUUAAGUUAAAAGGUAGAUUUAAUAUUCCGGAUAUGAGCGAGGAAUGUCGGCGAGCGGCGGACGGCUGAGUAGCGCGUAGGAACAUACCCCAAAGUGAGGCAUAACCGCCCGAAAGGGUGGCUAAUACCGCAUAUUGUCUUCGGAUGAAAGCUUUUAGCGCUUUGGGAAUGGCCUGCGUUUGAUUAGCUAGUUGGUGAGGUAAGGGCUUACCAAGGCGAUGAUCAAUAGCUGGUUUGAGAGAAUGAUCAGCCAGACUGGAACUGAGACACGGUCCAGACUCCUACGGGAGGCAGCAGUUGGGAAUUUUCCACAAUGGGCGAAAGCCUGAUGGAGCAACGCCGCGUGCAGGAAGAAUGCCUUCGGUUGUAAA